This is a non-coding RNA of Vicia faba (fava bean), 279 nucleotides long. Lineage: Eukaryota; Viridiplantae; Streptophyta; Magnoliopsida; Fabales; Fabaceae. The record is from the annotation of a GenBank genome assembly.
AUGAUCAACACCUUCGUCACCGGAGAAGAUGAAGUGGUUGGUGGUCCGGUGGAACCCUACCAGAAAAAACCUAAAACCAAAAACGCUCAACAUAAGCACCCCCCAACUUUAAACCCUGAUCACGGAUUCAAACUCAGAUUAACCAAAAACCUCACUGAGUAUUCUAGAUCGGAUUUUGAAACCCCAAAAACCUCACUAAGUGUUCUAGAUCGGGUUUUGAAAUCCCAAAAUCCUAAUUCAAACGAAAUCAAAAAUAAACCACAACAACAACGCGUUUGA